Molecule: long non-coding RNA, 1338 nt
Filed under: Nothobranchius furzeri (turquoise killifish)
Lineage: Eukaryota; Metazoa; Chordata; Actinopteri; Cyprinodontiformes; Nothobranchiidae
Description: lncRNA (ENSNFUG00015011029.1)
Source: RNAcentral
CCAACAUGGCAGUGGCUCAGGAGGUGCUAUUUGGAAACAGCUUUAGCAUCAACUUUGGACCAUUUAGAAUUCUUCUUCUGCGUCUUUUUCUUCUUCUGCAUCUUCUUCUUCUGCAUCUGCAUCUUCUUCUUCUGCGUCUUUUUCUUCUUCUGCGUCUUCUUCUUCUGCGUCUUCUUCUUCUGCGUCUUUUUCUUCUUCUUCUGCGUCUUCUUCUUCUGCAUCUGCAUCUUCUUCUGCGUCUUUUUCUUCUUCUGCAUCUUCUUCUUCUGCGUCUUCUUCUUCUGCGUCUUUUUCUUCUUCUUCUGCGUCUUCUUCUUCUUCUUCUGCGUCUUCUUCUUCUGCGUCUUCUUCUUCUUCUUCUUCUUCUUCUUCUGCAUCUGCAUCUUCUUCUUCUGCGUCUUCUUCUUCUUCUCCUCCUUUUUCUUCUGCGUCUGUGUCUUCUUCUUCUUCUGUGAUUCUGCUUCUUCUUCUUCAUCAUCAUCUUGUGCUUCUGCUUCUUCUUCUUGUUCUUCUGCUUCCUCUUCUUGUGCUUCUGCUGAUUCAUCUUCAUCUUCUUUUGCUUCAGCUUCAUCUUCUUCUUUUUCUUCUUGUGCUUCUGCUUCUGCUUCAUCUUCAUCUUCUUCUUGUGCUUCUACUUAUUAUUCUGCUUCAUCUUCUUGUGCUUCUGCUUCUUGUGCUUGUGCUUCUGCUUCUUCUUGUUCUUCUUGUGCCUCUUCUUCUUCUUCUUCUUGUGCUUCUGCUUCUUCAUCUUCUUCUUGUGCUUCUGCUUUUUCAUCUUCUUGUGCUUGUGCUUGUGCUUCUUCUUGUUCUUCUUGUGUCUCUUCUUCUUCUUCUUGUGCUUCUGCUUCUUCUUCUUCUUUUGCUUCUGCUUCCUCUGCUUCAUCUUCUUCAUCGUCUUGUAUUUCAUCUUCUUGUGCUUCUGCUUCAUCUUCUUCUCUUCUUCUGCUUCUUCAUCUUCUUUUCUUCUUCUGCUUCUUCAUCUUCUGUUCUUCUUCUUGUGCUUCUUCUUCUUCUUCUUCUUCUUCUUCUUCUUCUUCUUCUUCUUCUUCUUCUUCUUCUUCUUCGAUCUGUGGUUCGCAUCCAAAGACUAGAUUUAUAUUGUCUAAGAAGUUUUUUUCUUUAAAAUUUAAGGUUCUUUUUUUUAUUUUCAUAACUGUAACAUGCGUAAAGCCAGGAAGCAAAGGGCAAAAAUAUCCAGUUACCAUGGUGACCCCAAUAAACUGCUGGUGGUACUUCAGCCUGGUUUCUACUGCGGAGACACGCAACACCAUUAUUUGUGAUUGCAAGGGCUCUCAAACAGGCAGACAAGAACAAAUGAACCAGUGUCCAAUUUUCUAA